This 72-nucleotide transfer RNA is filed under the name Minisyncoccota bacterium. RNAcentral describes it as "tRNA-Arg". It matches the Rfam family "tRNA". From Rfam's summary of the family: Transfer RNA (tRNA) molecules are approximately 80 nucleotides in length. Their secondary structure includes four short double-helical elements and three loops (D, anti-codon, and T loops). Further hydrogen bonds mediate the characteristic L-shaped molecular structure. tRNAs have two regions of fundamental functional importance: the anti-codon, which is responsible for specific mRNA codon recognition, and the 3' end, to which the tRNAs corresponding amino acid is attached (by aminoacyl-tRNA synthetases). tRNAs cope with the degeneracy of the genetic code in two manners: having more than one tRNA (with a specific anti-codon) for a particular amino acid; and 'wobble' base-pairing, i.e. permitting non-standard base-pairing at the 3rd anti-codon position. The record is from RNAcentral. Lineage: Bacteria; Bacillati; Minisyncoccota.
GCCCUCAUAGUUCAACGGAUAGAACACGAGUUUUCUAAACUUGAAAUGGAGGUUCGAUUCCUCCUGAGGGCA